CAGCAGGACUGUAGCAAUACAGUUGCUGGCGACCGGCAAACGGGUGCGGAACACGUACGCAAUCUACCCAAAACUGGUGAAUAGCCCUCCGAAAGGAGGAUUAAUACACCGUAACCUAUUGAAGUGGCAUCACUUUAUUAGUAUAGCUCCGGCGGUUUUGGAUGAGCGUGCGGCUGAUUAGAUAGUUGGCGGGGUAACGGCCCACCAAGUCUGCGAUCAGUAACUGGUGUGAGAGCACGACCAGUCACACGGGCACUGAGACACGGGCCCGACUCCUACGGGAGGCAGCAGUAAGGAAUAUUGGUCAAUGGACGCAAGUCUGAACCAGCCAUGCCGCGUGGAGGAUGAAGGCCCUCUGGGUUGUAAACUUCUUUUAUCUGGGACGAAACCCUCAUAUUCUUAUGAGACUGACGGUACCAGAGGAAUAAGCACCGGCUAACUCCGUGCCAGCAGCCGCGGUAAUACGGAGGGUGCAAGCGUUAUCCGGAUUCACUGGGUUUAAAGGGUGCGUAGGAGGGCAGGUAAGUCAGUGGUGAAAUCUCCAAGCUUAACUUGGAAACUGCCGUUGAUACUAUCUGUCUUGAAUAUUGUGGAGGUGAGCGGAAUAUGUCAUGUAGCGGUGAAAUGCUUAGAUAUGACAUAGAACACCAAUUGCGAAGGCAGCUCACUACACAAUCAUUGACUCUGAGGCACGAAAGCGUGGGGAUCAAACAGGAUUAGAUACCCUGGUAGUCCACGCCCUAAACUAUGGAUACUCGACAUACGCGAUAUACAGUGUGUGUCUGAGCGAAAGCAUUAAGUAUCCCACCUGGGAAGUACGACCGCAAGGUUGAAACUC
Molecule: ribosomal RNA, 838 nt
Filed under: uncultured Flavobacteriia bacterium
Lineage: Bacteria; Pseudomonadati; Bacteroidota; Flavobacteriia
Description: bacterial SSU rRNA
Rfam family: Bacterial small subunit ribosomal RNA
Source: RNAcentral